This 430-nucleotide ribosomal RNA is filed under the name Ancaudellia shawi. RNAcentral's name for it is "partial 12S rRNA". Lineage: Eukaryota; Metazoa; Arthropoda; Insecta; Blattodea; Blaberidae. The record is from RNAcentral.
UACUAUGUUACGACUUAUCUCAUCUUAAUAACGAGAGUGACGGGCGAUGUGUGCACAUUCUAGAGCUAAUAUCACAAAAAUAUUCUUAUUAUUAAUUACUAUUAAAUCCUCCUUCAUGAAAUAUUUCAUAUCACAAUUCAUAUAUCUUACAGAUAAUGUAAUCCAUUACCACUCAAUCAUCAACUGCACCUUGACCUGAAAUAAAAUCAAAUUUAAUUUAAAGAAAAUAACCCUAAAAAGAUCUUCAAAUAAACGGCGAUAUACAUAUUAAAUAUUACUGAGUAAGGUUCAACGUGGAUUAUCGAUAACGGAACAGAUUCCUCUAACUAGACUAAAAUACCGCCAAAUUCUUUAAGUUUCAAGACCAUAUCUAAUACUACUCAAAUUUAAUUCUUUAAAUCCAAAAUAAUAGGGUAUCUAAUCCUAGUUU